Long non-coding RNA from Lotus japonicus, 460 nucleotides. RefSeq lists it as uncharacterized. NCBI's taxonomy places the organism in Eukaryota, Viridiplantae, Streptophyta, Magnoliopsida, Fabales, Fabaceae. The record is from RefSeq and is a predicted model, not a curated record. The transcript has 2 exons.
UUCCGCAUUAAGUUUACUUUUGGUUACUAAAGUGACGCCACCGAAAUCGGGGUGUUACAAAAAUAGUGUAGCUCCGCAUUCGUCUGCAUCGAUCUAUGUUCCCCCUCACGAAAAGAAUGGGGAGAAUGAUGAUUUUCAAGAAGAAGGAGAUGGAGAUGGAGAUGGAGAUGGAGAUGGAGAUGGAGAAGGAGAAGGAGAAGGAGAAAAAGAAUAUUGAUUGCUUUUGGAAUUGAUAGUAUUUUCUUAUUUUGAAAGGCUGUUUGGAACUUAGUAUGACAUGUUGAGAUUUUAUUUUGUUGAUGCUUAUGUUGAUUUUAACAUUGGCACGAAUUGACUAGAAGCUGUCAAGUUGAACAUGAUUAGACAUUGCCAUUUUUUUUUGUAGUACCUUUAUUUUUGGCUCUUUGUGUUCUAAAUACAAUAUUUGUGUUAAUUAAGAUUUGGUCUUAGUUUCAUGCGA